AGAGUCAACGCUGGCGGCGUGCCUAACACAUGCAAGUCGCACGAGAAAGGGUAGCAAUACCUGAGUAUAGUGGCGCACGGGUGAGUAACACGUGAAUUAUCUACCUCCGAGUGGGGAAUAACUGAGAGAAAUCUCAGCUAAUACCGCAUAACACUUACGAGUCAAAGCAGCAAUGCGCUCGGAGAGGAGUUCGCGGCCGAUUAGUUAGUUGGCGGGGUAAUGGCCCACCAAGACGAUGAUCGGUA
This 245-nucleotide ribosomal RNA is filed under the name uncultured bacterium. RNAcentral's name for it is "partial small subunit ribosomal RNA". It matches the Rfam family "Bacterial small subunit ribosomal RNA", at positions 26 to 285 of the family's 1533-position model. The record is from RNAcentral.